GCAACACUCCUUCAGCUUACUGUUCGAGUAUUGGCUUUGAGAGCCACGGGUCGGUGGUUCGAUCCCACCAGGAUACA
Molecule: transfer RNA, 77 nt
Filed under: Phytophthora infestans (potato late blight agent)
Lineage: Eukaryota; Oomycota; Peronosporomycetes; Peronosporales; Peronosporaceae
Description: tRNA-Ser
Source: RNAcentral